This 592-nucleotide ribosomal RNA is filed under the name Ctenophora environmental sample. Its description in RNAcentral is "partial Bacterial large subunit ribosomal RNA". It matches the Rfam family "Bacterial large subunit ribosomal RNA", at positions 1246 to 1829 of the family's 2925-position model. Lineage: Eukaryota; Metazoa; Ctenophora. The record is from RNAcentral.
AGCUGUGAAGGUAGACCGUGAGGUUACUACUGGAGCGACUACAAGUGAGAAUGUUGGCAUAAGUAACUUUAUUGAGGUUAAAACCCUCAACACCGUAAGCCCAAGGUUUCCAAUCCACUGGCAGUCAGGGUUGGGUUAGUCGGUCCUAAGGCGAGGCUGAAAAGCGUAGUCGAUGGAUAACAGGUUAAUAUUCCUGUACUAAUACAAAAUGUCAAGGCAGGACACAUGAGGAAAAUCUGCUUCCAGUUAAUGAAUUCUGGGACAAGCAGUUAGCUUAUGUUUCUAUAGGUAAAUCCGUAGAAAUUUGUAAGCUGUGAUGUAUAUAUACUUUCUCGCGAGAGAAAGGUAAAGUAGUGAUUCUUGUGUCAAGAAAAGUGUCUAAACUAAAGUUUUGUUUUUAUAACCGUACCGCAAACUAACACUAGUGGGUGAGAAGAGUAUUCUCAGGUGAACGAGAUAACUAAGCUUAAGGAACUCGGCAAAACAGCGUCCGUAACUUCGGGAUAAGGACUCCCAACUCUUUGCUUGCAAGGGGUUGGGCGCAGCUAAUGACUCCAAUCGACUGUUUAUCAAAAACACAGGUCUCCGCGAA